Pongo pygmaeus (Bornean orangutan) is the source of this 107-nucleotide small nuclear RNA. The record is from RefSeq and is a predicted model, not a curated record. NCBI's taxonomy places the organism in Eukaryota, Metazoa, Chordata, Mammalia, Primates, Hominidae.
GUGCUCCCUUGGGCAGCGCAUAUACUAAAAUUGGAGCGAUACAGAGAAAAUUAGCAUGGCCUCUGAGCAAGAAUGACACACAAAUUCAUGAAGCGUUCCAUAUAUCG